GCAGCCGCGGUAAUACGGAGGGUGCGAGCGUUAAUCGGAAAUUACUGGGCGUAAAGCGCAUGCAGGUGGUUUGUUAAGUCAGAUGUGAAAGCCCCGGGGCUCAACCUCGGAAUUGCAUUUGAAACUGGCAGACUAGAGUACUGUAGAGGGGGUAGAAUUUCAGGUGUAGCGGUGAAAUGCGUAGAGAUCUGAAGGAAUACCGGUGGCGAAGGCGGCCCCCUGGACAGAUACUGACACUCAGAUGCGAAAGCGUGGGGAGCAAACAGGAUUAGAUACCCUGUCGAG
Molecule: ribosomal RNA, 285 nt
Filed under: uncultured bacterium
Lineage: Bacteria
Description: partial 16S ribosomal RNA
Rfam family: Bacterial small subunit ribosomal RNA
Source: RNAcentral